RNAcentral lists this ribosomal RNA (443 nucleotides) under uncultured bacterium. RNAcentral's name for it is "partial 16S ribosomal RNA". It matches the Rfam family "Bacterial small subunit ribosomal RNA", at positions 338 to 795 of the family's 1533-position model. The record is from RNAcentral.
CCUACGGGUGGCAGCAGUGGGGGAUAUUGGACAAUGGGGGAAACCCUGAUCCAGUGACGCCGCGUGAGUGAAGAAGUAUUUCGGUAUGUAAAGCUCUAUCAGCAGGGAAGAAAGAAAUGACGGUACCUGAGUAAGAAGCUCCGGCUAACUACGUGCCAGCAGCCGCGGUAAUACGUAGGGGGCAAGCGUUAUCCGGAAUUACUGGGUGUAAAGGGAGCGUAGACGGUAAUGCAAGUCUGAGGUGAAAGUCGGGGGCUCAACCCCCGGACUGCUCUGGAAACUGGGUAACUGGAGUGCAGGAGAGGCAGGCGGAAUUCCUAGUGUAGCGGUGAAAUGCGUAGAGAUUAGGAGGAACACCAGUGGCGAAGGCGGCCUGCUGGACUGUAACUGACGUUGAGGCUCGAAAGCGUGGGGAGCAAACAGGAUUAGAUACCCUGGUAGUC